This 336-nucleotide unclassified non-coding RNA is filed under the name plant metagenome. Its description in RNAcentral is "partial contains small subunit ribosomal RNA, internal transcribed spacer 1, and 5.8S ribosomal RNA". The record is from RNAcentral.
UUUCCGUAGGUGAACCUGCGGAAGGAUCAUUAUUGAAUAUGCUUGAUAGGUUGUAGAUGGCCCUUCGGAGUAUGUGCACGCUUAUCUUGACUUAAUUCAUCCACCUGUGCACCUUUUGUAGUCUUGGGGGUUGAGAUCGGUCGACUAUCGGAUGUCCAAGGUCAUUCCGGAUGUGAGGAAUGCUGAGUGCGAAAGCAUACAGCUCUUCUCAAAUUACUUGUCUUCCUCGAUUACUAUGUAUUCAUAUACCACAUAGUAUGUUGUAGAAUGUGAUCAAUGGGUCUAUGUACAUAUAAUAAUAAUAUACAACUUUCAGCAACGGAUCUCUUGGCUCUC